This is a long non-coding RNA of Ictalurus punctatus (channel catfish), 1635 nucleotides long. Lineage: Eukaryota; Metazoa; Chordata; Actinopteri; Siluriformes; Ictaluridae. The record is from Ensembl.
AAACAAACUCCAGUUAGUCCAGAAUGCAGCUGCAGAAGUCCUAACUAGAACCAGAAAGUUAAUUAUAAAAUAUUACUACUGAACGAUACAGCACUGAAUGGUCUCGCGUCACUUUUGGUCUUUUAUGGUCUGCUAUGCCUACUUAUAGCAAAAAGUGCAGGCUAUUUGUUGGUACCUCGAAUAGUGAAGGCUACAGCAAGGGGUAGCGCUUUCUCUUACAAAGCCCCACAGUUAUGGAAUAGCCUUCCAAUUAGUGUUCGGGACUUGGACACAGUCUCAGCGUUUAAGUCUAGGCUGAAAACAUAUUUGUUUACUCAAGCGUACCAUGAAUAGACUUUCUUUUACACAAAGUACACAGUCUUAUCCAUUAUGGGAUAGUAAGCAUAUUUAACAAUCUCUCCCUCUCUUUCCUCCCUCUCCCCCUCUCCUUCUGUCGAGCCACACAUGAUUUUAUGGAGAUGCCAGUGAUCCUGACCCUUUCUGCUCUCCCCUUUCUGGUUUCUUUGCAGAUGAGAAGAUAGAACAUGGAAUUUAAAAAUAAUAUUAAUAUUAAUUAAAGCUGCAGUACUGAACUUUUGCCUGUCUAUCGCCCUCUCUGUUUCAAACAUAAAAUGGCAAGUUUCUUGCGGAGUUAUUCUUUCUUUUUUUUACAUGGAUUGUGCUUUGGCACUGCUCCUCUGCGUGGAUGAAUCUGAUGGUUUGAGGUAUUUGUAUGAGUUGUAUAUUAGCUCCAAUACUUGACAAUGGAGAUUGCACUUGUAUUCCAAGUUAAGUCUAACAUCACUGAGACUAAUUAAGAUGGGCAGAAGUCACAUUCUCCUUGCAACCCUGCCAUGCACACCAUUUUUGUUCAGUGUUCUCCUGAUAGUGAAUGAUGGUCAAGGGUUCACAAACUUUCAAGCACCACUGUAAUCUCUUAAUGUCAGGAACUGUACAGCACCCCUGCCAGAUUAAUAAUAUAAUACAAUAUAAUAUUAACCUAUACAGUGCACCCGGAAAGUAUUCACAGCGCUUCACUUUUUCCACAUUUUGUUAUGUUACAGCCUUAUUCCAAAAUGGAUUAAAUUCAUUAUUUUCCUCAAAAUUCUACAAACAAUUCCCCAUAGUGACAACAUGAAAGAAGUUUGUUUGAAAUCUUUGCAAAUUUAUUAAAAAUAAAAAACAAAAAAAGCACAUGUACAUAAGUAUUCACAGCCUUUGCUCAAUACUUUGUUGAAGCAGCUUUGGCACCAAUUACAGCCUCAAGUCUUUUUGAAUAUGAUGCUACAAACUUAGCACACCUAUUUUUGGGCAGUUUCUCCCAUUCUUCUGUGCAGGACCUCUCAAGCUCCAUCAGGUUGGAUGGGGAGUGUCGGUACACAGCCAUUUUCAGAUAUCUCCUGAGAUGUUCAAUCAGGUUCAAGUCUGGGCUCUGGCUGGGCCACUUAAGGACAUUCACAGAGUUGUCCUGUAGCCACUCCUUUGUAAUCUUGGUUGUGUGCUUAGGGUCAUUGUCCUGUUGGAAGAUGAACCUUCACCCCAGUCUGAGGUCCAGAGCACUCUGGAGCAGGUUUUCAUCAAGGAUGUCUCUGUAUAUUGCUGUAUUCAUCUUUCCCUCGAUCCUGACUAGUCUCCCAGUUCCUUCUGCUGAAAAAC